Molecule: ribosomal RNA, 761 nt
Filed under: Rhodococcus sp. MS272a1
Lineage: Bacteria; Bacillati; Actinomycetota; Actinomycetes; Mycobacteriales; Nocardiaceae
Description: bacterial SSU rRNA
Rfam family: Bacterial small subunit ribosomal RNA
Source: RNAcentral
UAGAGUUUGAUCCUGGCUCAGGACGAACGCUGGCGGCGUGCUUAACACAUGCAAGUCGAGCGGUAAGGCCUUUCGGGGUACACGAGCGGCGAACGGGUGAGUAACACGUGGGUGAUCUGCCCUGCACUUCGGGAUAAGCCUGGGAAACUGGGUCUAAUACCGGAUAUGACCUCAUGUUGCAUGACGUGGGGUGGAAAGAUUUAUCGGUGCAGGAUGGGCCCGCGGCCUAUCAGCUUGUUGGUGGGGUAAUGGCCUACCAAGGCGACGACGGGUAGCCGACCUGAGAGGGUGACCGGCCACACUGGGACUGAGACACGGCCCAGACUCCUACGGGAGGCAGCAGUGGGGAAUAUUGCACAAUGGGCGAAAGCCUGAUGCAGCGACGCCGCGUGAGGGAUGACGGCCUUCGGGUUGUAAACCUCUUUCAGCAGGGACGAAGCGCAAGUGACGGUACCUGCAGAAGAAGCACCGGCUAACUACGUGCCAGCAGCCGCGGUAAUACGUAGGGUGCAAGCGUUGUCCGGAAUUACUGGGCGUAAAGAGUUCGUAGGCGGUUUGUCGCGUCGUUUGUGAAAACCAGCAGCUCAACUGCUGGCUUGCAGGCGAUACGGGCAGACUUGAGUACUGCAGGGGAGACUGGAAUUCCUGGUGUAGCGGUGAAAUGCGCAGAUAUCAGGAGGAACACCGGUGGCGAAGGCGGGUCUCUGGGCAGUAACUGACGCUGAGGAACGAAAGCGUGGGUAGCGAACAGGAUUAGAUAC